GUGUUGAAUUCUGCAAAAGGUU
Molecule: microRNA, 22 nt
Filed under: Callorhinchus milii (elephant shark)
Lineage: Eukaryota; Metazoa; Chordata; Chondrichthyes; Chimaeriformes; Callorhinchidae
Description: eshark_mir-653_1
Source: RNAcentral